This 374-nucleotide ribosomal RNA is filed under the name uncultured bacterium. Its description in RNAcentral is "bacterial SSU rRNA". It matches the Rfam family "Bacterial small subunit ribosomal RNA", at positions 121 to 507 of the family's 1533-position model. The record is from RNAcentral.
GAAACCUGCCUUUCAGUGGGGGACAACAGUUGGAAAACGACCUGCUAAUACCGCAUAAUGUACACGGACCGCAUGAUCUGUGUACCAAAGCUUUAUGUGCUGAAAGAUGGUCUCGCGUCUGAUUAGCUAGAUGCGGGUAACGGCCCACCAUGGCGACGAUCAGUAGCCGGUCUGAGAGGAUGAACGGCCACAUUGGGACUGAGAUACGGCCCAGACUCCUACGGGAGGCAGCAGUGGGGAAUAUUGGGGCAACUGGGGGAAACCCUGACCCAGCAACGCCGCGUGAAGGAAGAAGGCCUUCGGGUUGUAAACUUCUUUUAGUAGGGACGAAGAACGUGACGGUACCUACAGAAAAAGCAACGGCUAACUACGUG